AUACGGAGGGUGCAAGCGUUACUCGGAAUCACUGGGCGUAAAGCGCGCGCAGGCGGUCUUUUAAGUUGGAUGUGAAAGCCUACGGCCCAACCGUAGAACUGCAUCCAAAACUAUUAGACUAGAGUGUGGGAGAGGAAGAUGGAAUUAGUUGUGUAGGGGUAAAAUCCAUAGAGAUAACUAGGAAUACCAAAAGCGAAGGCAAUCUUCUGGAACACUACUGACGCUGAGGCGCGAAAGCGUGGGGAGCAAACAGGAUUAGAAACCCUAGUAGUCC
This 274-nucleotide ribosomal RNA is filed under the name uncultured bacterium. RNAcentral describes it as "partial 16S ribosomal RNA". It matches the Rfam family "Bacterial small subunit ribosomal RNA", at positions 523 to 796 of the family's 1533-position model. The record is from RNAcentral.